This 971-nucleotide non-coding RNA is filed under the name Reinwardtipicus validus xanthopygius. Its description in RNAcentral is "Chrysocolaptes validus xanthopygius partial 12S ribosomal RNA". It matches the Rfam family "Bacterial small subunit ribosomal RNA". The record is from RNAcentral. Lineage: Eukaryota; Metazoa; Chordata; Aves; Piciformes; Picidae.
AAAAGACUUAGUCCUAACCUUACUAUUAGUUGCUGCCAGACCUAUACAUGCAAGUAUCCGCGCCCCAGUGUAAAUGCCCCCAACCCCUUACCAAGACAAGAGGAGCAGACAUCAGGCACACUCAUCGUAGCCCAAAACGUCUUGCUUAGCCACACCCCCACGGGUACUCAGCAGUAAUUAACAUUAAGCAAUAAGUGAAAACUUGACUUAGCCAUGGCAACAUCCAGGGUUGGUAAAUCUUGUGCCAGCCACCGCGGUCAUACAAGAAACCCAAACUAAUCGUACACGGCGUAAAGAGUGGCCCAACACUAUCGUUCCCUCUGAGGUCGAAACAUACCUGAGCUGUCAUAAGCCCAAGGUACUCCUAAGCCCCAUCAACCCCCCUCACCUCAGCCCCAACGACUAACCAACCCCACGAAAGCCAGGAAACAAACUGGGAUUAGAUACCCCACUAUGCCCGGCCAUAAAUCCAAAUGCUUCCCUUACCCAAGCAUUCGCCAGGGAACUACGAGCACAAACGCUUAAAACCCUAAGGACUUGGCGGUGUCCCAAACCCACCUAGAGGAGCCUGUUCUAUAAUCGAUAACCCACGCUACACCCAACCUCCCCUUGCCCCAAGCAGCCUAUAUACCGCCGUCGCCAGCUCACCUCUCCUGAGAGCCCAACAGUGAGCACAACAGUCUUACCCACUAAAAAGACAGGUCAAGGUAUAGCCCAUGGAGAGGAAGAAAUGGGCUACAUUUUCUGACACAGAAAACCAACGGAAAGAGGGCCUGAAAACCAACCCUCAAAAGGCGGAUUUAGCAGUAAAACAUGACCAUCAUGCCUGUUUUAAACUGGCCCUGGGACACGUACAUACCGCCCGUCACCCUCCUCAUAGCAACUCUUCCCACACCAACUAGAACCCCAACUAGCCAAAGAUGAGGUAAGUCGUAACAAGGUAAGUGUACCGGAAGGUGCACUUAGCAUAC